RNAcentral lists this ribosomal RNA (406 nucleotides) under uncultured Azospira sp. Its description in RNAcentral is "bacterial SSU rRNA". It matches the Rfam family "Bacterial small subunit ribosomal RNA", at positions 356 to 774 of the family's 1533-position model. Lineage: Bacteria; Pseudomonadati; Pseudomonadota; Betaproteobacteria; Rhodocyclales; Rhodocyclaceae. The record is from RNAcentral.
GGGGAAUAUUGCACAAUGGGCGAAAGCCUGAUGCAGCGACGCCGCGUGAGGGAUGACGGCCUUCGGGUUGUAAACCUCUUUCAGCAGGGAAGAAGCGAAAGUGACGGUACCUGCAGAAGAAGCGCCGGCUAACUACGUGCCAGCAGCCGCGGUAAUACGUAGGGUGCGAGCGUUAAUCGGAAUUACUGGGCGUAAAGCGUGCGCAGGCGGUUUCGUAAGACAGACGUGAAAUCCCCGGGCUCAACCUGGGAACUGCGUUUGUGACUGCGAGGCUAGAGUACGGCAGAGGGGGGUAGAAUUCCACGUGUAGCAGUGAAAUGCGUAGAGAUGUGGAGGAAUACCGAUGGCGAAGGCAGCCCCCUGGGUUAGUACUGACGCUCAUGCACGAAAGCGUGGGGAGCAAACA